This 44-nucleotide transfer RNA is filed under the name Aubrieta canescens. RNAcentral's name for it is "partial tRNA-Leu". The record is from RNAcentral. Lineage: Eukaryota; Viridiplantae; Streptophyta; Magnoliopsida; Brassicales; Brassicaceae.
AAAUCCGUUGACUUUUAAAAUCGUGAGAACUCUACUCCCCUCUA